Molecule: ribosomal RNA, 498 nt
Filed under: Boophis madagascariensis (Madagascar bright-eyed frog)
Lineage: Eukaryota; Metazoa; Chordata; Amphibia; Anura; Mantellidae
Description: partial 16S ribosomal RNA
Rfam family: Bacterial large subunit ribosomal RNA
Source: RNAcentral
ACGGCCGCGGUACCCUAACCGUGCGAAGGUAGCAUAAUCACUUGUUCUUUAAAUGAGGACUCGUAUCAACGGCAUCACGAGGAUCCUACUGUCUCCCCCCUCUAAUCAGUGAAACUGAUCUCUCCGUGAAGAAGCGGAGAUGUACAUAUAAGACGAGAAGACCCCAUGGAGCUUUAAACCCAACAACACCCGCCCCCCUCCAAAUCCUAUUAUUUACCCGGUGAUUGUUUGUUUGGUUUUAGGUUGGGGUGACCGCGGAGUAUAAGAUAUCCUCCAUGAAAAAAAGCUAACUGCCCUUAUUAGAGAAAGACACUUCCAAAAAAUAAUAAAUUAAUUUUAAAUGAUCCGACAUUCGAUCAACGAACCAAGUUACCCUGGGGAUAACAGCGCAAUCCGUCCCGAGAGCCCCUAUCGACAGGCGGGUUUACGACCUCGAUGUUGGAUCAGGGUAUCCCAGUGGUGCAGCAGCUACUAAAGGUUCGUUUGUUCAACGAUUAA